This 2442-nucleotide long non-coding RNA is filed under the name Gossypium barbadense (sea-island cotton). RNAcentral's name for it is "long non-coding RNA (GBAR_LNC014624)". The record is from RNAcentral. Lineage: Eukaryota; Viridiplantae; Streptophyta; Magnoliopsida; Malvales; Malvaceae.
AUUUCGAGAAACUCUGCGGCGCAACGGAGUGGAACAACGGUAGAGGAGGAGAGAUCGAUUUUGACGCCGUAACAGAAUUUGGCGGCGGUUUCGAAAGCGUCAGAACCACCCGGAAAAUCCUGCAGAGAUAUCUGGUAACGAUCUUCUUCUUCAUCCUCUUGUUGGUCUUGAUAUUCCUCUGUUUCUUCUUCUUCUUCGAUUUCAUUCCCGGUUACACGUUGCUUUUGCUUAGUAACGGUUACAGUAGAUGAUUUCUUACCUUGUUCUUCUAUUAACCGAUCAAUCUUUCUGCUUUUGGAUAUCAAUGGAAACUUCAACAACAACAACAAAAUACAAAGAAAAUAAAUGUUUGCUUCACCAACAAAAAAAAAACACCAUGAAAAAGAAAAUUCAAAACUUAGCUAACCUUAUGAAGAUGAAAAGUCAUAUCAUCAACUUCAAUAAUAAUGUCACUAGGUAAGCCAGUAGCACAAAACCUGUAAAAAUUAUAAAAAAAAAAAAAGUUAGCAUAUUUUUGCAGUAUGAAGAAAAAAAGGAAACGAAAAUGAAAAGCUAACCAUGCUUGGCCUUUAGAGCUAGGUUUAUCAGCUGCCAUUUUUUUUCUUUCAGAUGAAGUUGAAAAUGCUUUGGGUAUUUAGAAACAGUUCUGGAAAAACCUAAAGCAGAUUAAUUUAGGGUUUCCCCCCUAGUUUAGAGAAGAGAGAAGGGGUUGGGUUUAGGAAGAAGAAGCAAUUGGUAAAAUUAAAAAAGGGUGGGAAAUUGGAAUCCUAGAAAACUCAAAGAGGGACAAAUGAAACUUGAACAAAUUUCAAAGAAGGAAGAUCAAUUUUUUUAUUAUUAUAUUCUUUUAACCCCCAAAAAAGGUUUUUUUUUAAUUUUUUAUUUUUGGGUCCUUCUUUUGAAUCACAGCAGAAUCUCAAGUCUCAACUACUCCAACUCUGUCUAAAAAUGUCAAAGAGAGGGGAAAAUGGGACUGAAAAAGGGUAGCGUUUAGAAGAAAAAGACCAAAAGUAGCAAUUAAUCCCAUCUUGGUUGGCAUUUUAUUGCUUUCCAUUUGAGUAUAUAAUGCAUAUUUUAUAAUUCCUUAUUCUUUUAAAUUUAAUAAUAAAAACACAAUUGUGUCAAAAACAAUAAAUAAUUAAAGUGGUAUACCUUAUUAUAAUGUAAUUAUACCAUGAUAUUAGUACACAGUACUUCCUACUUUAUUCAAUAAUGACCUUUAAAUUUCUUUCUAUUAGGUUAGUUAUAGUUCUUUUUUGGUCUGAGUUUUGACCCCUAGUAUACUAUAGUCAAAGUUGAGAUCCGGUUUAGAGUGAAUACCAAUUAUAAAAACUUAUAAAAUAGUCAUUUAAUUAUUAAAUUUUAUCGUUUUUGGUUACCUAAUCAUCUUAUAUUUUUUGAUGUGUCCAUUUUUACGCUAGUCUCUUUGUGAUUAAAAAAAAAACUUGAAUAGUUAUAUGAUAAUUUUAUAACUUUUCGUAGUUGAUGAUAAAAAAAAAACACAAUUGAAUGAUUAUUUUGUAACUAAAAAAAACAUAAUUAGAUGUCCUCUACCUUAAUUUAUUUAUUUUUAUUUACAAUAUUCAAAUCGAGUUCUUAGGAAGUUUGAUAUAUAGUUGACUCAAAAGCUAAGCAUGCUUAACAGAAUCAUCAACAACAACUAUAGAGAGAGUGAGUAGUAUCUACUCUUCACUUUUUUUGGCCAGUGAUAAAUACUCUUAUUUGGAAGUUUUUUUCUUUUGCUUUCAUGGCUAAGAGAACAAGAGAUUAUUGGGUUUUACUAGCUUUUCUCAUGUGGGGGCAUUAUCAAAGUUGGUACCAGAUAUCUACAAGAAAACCAAAAUCCCAAAGCAAGAUGACAAAAUUGUCUACCAUGAUAGUUUUAAGAGUCUUGUUAAAAAUGCUUUAGAUGCAACAACUAAUUGAGAAGGAAAUUGAUAUGCUUUUUCUUCAAACUUUUUUCCAUUGAGGGGCAAAAGGAAAAAAUUGAAACUUUGGGUGUCCAACACUGCAAGUAAAAAAAAAAAAGCCAUUGUUAUUUAAUAUAGUCAUAUGAAAAUAAAUGGGGUACUGGCCAUAUUCUAAAGCACAUGACCCACAUAAAAGAAAACCCCACAGCUUUAAAAAUGAUUGGUUUUUUGUUGUGCUUUGAAGUUCUCAUUUGAAGCUUUUCUUUUUGAAAAUUUCAGGUCUGAAAACGUGGCGCUGGCUUUCAUUAAUAGCAACAUUGCCUCCACCCUUGUAAGUUCUUCCACCCUCUUCCUUGCUUUGCAUUUAUGAAUACAAUAAUGAGACAACUACUACGGAAUAUUUUGUACGAUUUUCCAUUAAGGAUGUGUGUAAAUGGAGUUAGAGGAAGAUAGGGUGUGUAGGAAAAAUCGAAAAUUGAUUUGAAUAUUUUGGAGUAUAAAUUAAAAAUUGUUGUUACUUGAAUUGAAUGGA